RNAcentral lists this ribosomal RNA (293 nucleotides) under uncultured Alphaproteobacteria bacterium. Its description in RNAcentral is "partial 16S ribosomal RNA". Lineage: Bacteria; Pseudomonadati; Pseudomonadota; Alphaproteobacteria. The record is from RNAcentral.
GGACUACCGGGGUAUCUAAUCCUGUUUGCUCCCCACGCUUUCGCACCUCAGCGUCAGUACCGGGCCAGUGAGCCGCCUUCGCCACUGGUGUUCUUGCGAAUAUCUACGAAUUUCACCUCUACACUCGCAGUUCCACUCACCUCUCCCGGACUCGGAGACUCUCAGUAUCGGAGGCAGUUCUGGAGUUGAGCUCCAGGAUUUCACCACCGACUUAGGAAUCCGCCUACGUGCGCUUUACGCCCAGUGAUUCCGAGCAACGCUAGCCCCCUUCGUAUUACCGCGGCGGCUGGCAC